RNAcentral lists this long non-coding RNA (214 nucleotides) under Bos taurus (domestic cattle). Its description in RNAcentral is "long non-coding RNA NONBTAT014143". Lineage: Eukaryota; Metazoa; Chordata; Mammalia; Artiodactyla; Bovidae. The record is from RNAcentral.
CUUUUAUAUUUGGGGGCGGGAGGGGAAGGGACUUUGUCUCACAAGUCACAGAGCAGCCUGAUUUCAGCCACAAAGAUAAAGCCUGUCUAAGGUACUAGAGAAUGAAACGGAGAGAGAAACGGAUAAAACACGAUGGGGAAACAAGGAAGCCUGGCGGCGCUGAGAUCACCAUGAAUUCCCCUUGUUAAGCUCUGCUCGCAGUAGUCAUCGAUGG